This 1344-nucleotide ribosomal RNA is filed under the name metagenome. Its description in RNAcentral is "bacterial LSU rRNA". It matches the Rfam family "Bacterial large subunit ribosomal RNA", at positions 1564 to 2912 of the family's 2925-position model. The record is from RNAcentral.
UGAGUACGAGCGGCUACGGCCGCGAAGUGGAUGACGUCAAGCUUCCAAGAAAAGCCCUAUACCCGUUAAGGCAUGAUGGCCUGUACCCGAAACCGACACAGGUGGGGUGGUAGAGAAUACCGAGGGGCGCGAGGUAACUCUCUCUAAGGAACUCGGCAAAAUGGCCCCGUAACUUCGGGAGAAGGGGUGCCACCGCGAGGUGGUCGCAGUGAAGAGGCCCAGGCGACUGUUUACCAAAAACACAGGUCUCCGCUAAGUCGCAAGACGAUGUAUGGGGGCUGACGCCUGCCCAGUGCCGGAAGGUUAAGGAAGCUGGUCAGCGCAAGCGAAGCUGGCGACUGAAGCCCCGGUGAACGGCGGCCGUAACUAUAACGGUCCUAAGGUAGCGAAAUUCCUUGUCGGGUAAGUUCCGACCCGCACGAAAGGCGUAACGAUCUGGGCGCUGUCUCGGAGAGAGGCUCGGCGAAAUAGAAUUGUCUGUGAAGAUGCGGACUACGUGCACCCGGACAGAAAGACCCUAUGAAGCUUUACUGUAGCUUGGUAUUGUGCUCGGGCUCGGAAUGCGCAGGAUAGGUGGGAGGCUUUGAUCCAUUGCUUGCGGGUGAUGGUGAGCCACUGGUGAGAUACCACUCUUUCCGAGCUAGAGUUCUAACAGCAACCCGUUAUCCGGGUGCUGGACAUUAUCAGGCGGGCAGUUUGACUGGGGCGGUCGCCUCCUAAAAGGUAACGGAGGCGCGCAAAGGUCUGCUCAGGCUGGUUGGAAAUCAGCCGACGAGUGUAAAAGCAGAAGCAGGCUUGACUGUGAGACCUACAAGUCGAACAGGGAGGAAACUCGGCUUUAGUGAUCCGACGGUUCUGCGUGGAAGGGCCGUCGCUCAACGGAUAAAAGUUACUCUAAGGAUAACAGGCUGAUCUCCCCCAAGAGUUCACAUCGACGGGGAGGUUUGGCACCUCGAUGUCGGCUCAUCGCAACCUGGGGCUGAAGUCGGUCCCAAGGGUUGGGCUGUUCGCCCAUUAAAGCGGUACGCGAGCUGGGUUCAGAACGUCGUGAGACAGUUCGGCCCAUAUCCGGUGCACGCGCAGGAAUAUUGAGAGGAUUUCUCCCUAGUACGAGAGGACCGGGAGGAACGCACCUCUGGUGUGCCAGUUAUCGUGCCAACGGUAAACGCUGGGUAGCCAUGUGCGGAGUGGAUAACCGCUGAAAGCAUCUAAGUGGGAAGCCCACCUCAAGAUGAGUAUUCCCAUGGCAUAAGCCAGUAAGGUCACGGGAAGAACACCCGUUGAUAGGCUCUACGUGGAAGCGCAGUAAUGUGUGAAGCGGAGGAGUACUAAUAGACCGAGGGC